GACCUGAUAGCAUAAUUGGAUAGUGUACCUGCUUAACUUGGCGAAGUCAUAUAACAUGUCAUCUAGCAGGAGAUCCCCGUUCGAUCCGGGGUCAUCG
Mycena vulgaris is the source of this 97-nucleotide non-coding RNA. Lineage: Eukaryota; Fungi; Basidiomycota; Agaricomycetes; Agaricales; Mycenaceae. The record is from the annotation of a GenBank genome assembly.